This is a non-coding RNA of Podarcis lilfordi (Lilford's wall lizard), 438 nucleotides long. NCBI's taxonomy places the organism in Eukaryota, Metazoa, Chordata, Lepidosauria, Squamata, Lacertidae. The record is from the annotation of a GenBank genome assembly.
UUUUUUUUUAUAAUGAUAUUUAUUGAGAUUUCAAAAAGAAUACAAAAAUUACACAAUAACAAAAAAUAGAAAAUACAAAAACUUACACAAUAAAAAGAAAAAGAUACAAAAGUAAAAAUAAAAAUAUAAGAAAGUGAAAAAUACAGAAGAAAAAUAAUAAUAGAGAAGAAAAGAAAACAUUAGACCUCCUCCACCUCCCUUCCUUUGUAUUCUAGUUGUUAAUUAUCCCAGCAAAUCCUUUCCAUCUUUCUAUGAUAGAAUAAACCUUAAAAUUUAAAAUUUAGAUCUUAACUUUACCAGCUUCUUAUGUUCAUAAUGUUCUUUCAUAAUUCUUUAUACAUCUUUACUAAAGCCAGGUAAUUUCUUCCAACAUUUUUCUAUCAUUCAUUUUUCUAUCAUUCUAUCAUUCAACAACUUUAUAAAACAUUCUGUUAAUUG